RNAcentral lists this ribosomal RNA (106 nucleotides) under Caerostris extrusa. The record is from RNAcentral. Lineage: Eukaryota; Metazoa; Arthropoda; Arachnida; Araneae; Araneidae.
ACGGCCGUACCAUGCUGAAUAUACCGGUUCUCGUUAAAUCACCGAAGUCAAGCAUCAUCGGGCGCGGUCAGUACUUUGGAUAACCACCUGAACACCGCGUGCCGUU